This 116-nucleotide ribosomal RNA is filed under the name Clostridiales bacterium. The record is from RNAcentral. Lineage: Bacteria; Bacillati; Bacillota; Clostridia; Eubacteriales.
UCCGGUGAUUAUAGCAAUGAGGUCCCACCUGUUCCCAUCUCGAACACAGAAGUUAAGCUCAUUUACGUCGAAAAUACUUAUGGCUUUGCCAUCGGGAAGAUAGAACGUUGCCGGAA